UACGAAGGGUGCAAGCGUUACUCGGAAUUACUGGGCGUAAAGCGUCCGCAGGUGGCUAUUCAAGUCUGCGGUCAAAGACUGGGGCUUAACCCUGGAAAGGCCGUGGAAACUGAAGAGCUAGAGUGCAGUAGGGGUAGAGGGAAUUCCCGGUGUAGCGGUGAAAUGCGUAGAGCUCGGGAAGAACAUCGGUGGCGAAAGCGCUCUGCUGGACUGCAACUGACACUCAGGGACGAAAGCUAGGGGAGCGAAUGGG
RNAcentral lists this ribosomal RNA (253 nucleotides) under uncultured bacterium. RNAcentral's name for it is "partial 16S ribosomal RNA". It matches the Rfam family "Bacterial small subunit ribosomal RNA", at positions 524 to 776 of the family's 1533-position model. The record is from RNAcentral.